This is a long non-coding RNA of Betta splendens (Siamese fighting fish), 2528 nucleotides long. RefSeq lists it as uncharacterized. The transcript has 2 exons. The record is from RefSeq and is a predicted model, not a curated record. Lineage: Eukaryota; Metazoa; Chordata; Actinopteri; Anabantiformes; Osphronemidae.
UUGUGUUGUUAUUGCUAAGGACUCUCUUCCGGCUGCCUCCGGGACCAGCUUCGAUCCAUCCACUGUCUGUUUGUACUGCUGCUCAUAAAUUUUACAGCUUGCGUUUGAACCUACUGGGAGCUUAAACAAUUGCUUUAUUGAUGAAUUUUCACUCAUAUGAGGAAGAGCUCCACACCAGAGUGACACGGGACUGUUCACCACGGUAAAAUGAACACUGCUGUGAGAUUGCUUGUUCUUUUAUCUAAUAUGUGGAGCGUAAUUGUGCAGGGUCAAGGCAGGAUCAAGCCCAUCCUAGAAUGGAGCAAAGGGGAGGGGGGGUCUCACCCUGGACACGUCGCUAGUCCAUCACAGCGCCACUUAUACUGUACACGUGGACAGCCAUUCACAUCUACAGGCAACUUAGACAAUCAGUAAUAAUCAAUAGUAUUGCAUGUCUUUGCAUUGUGGCAGAAAUCGAGCCACCCAUCAGAAAGGCACCUAGGCGACCCUGGAGUCAAACCCAGGACCUUCUUGCUGAGAGUACUGACAACUACACCACCGAACUCUACGCCAGAUUGUAAUAUUGGCCUUAGCUGCUCCCCGCUUCCUGUGUCUUUGUAGAUCACCACUUUUUAACAUUAAAACAUCUGAGGACCAUUGACUCACCAAUAAAACAAUACUUUUAAAGCAGGGAAACCAGACUCUGUAUGUUGGCGCUGGAUUUUAGGCAUUAUAUAGGAACACAUAACACAUUUUGACUGACAAAAUUAAACGCAGGAGGUUCACCCAUCCCAAUUCAGAGACUCUACUUUUAUAUUUGCAAAAAUAUAAAUAUGAUUCCUGAGAAACCUAUUAUUUUAUUUUUGCCUACAUUUAGAUACUAAUUCGGAUGCAGACAUACUGUAGUUUGUGUGUUCGACUCCAGUCACCUUGCGCGCGGUUUGCACAGAAUUGCCAGUUGUGAUAAUGUUACAUGACUAUGUAUUCUGCACUUUGACUAUUAGUGCACUCUUAUAUCAUAUCAAAAACCACCUGUAAUAUUAACUGGGCCUAUUACAAGCGACAGCCAGGUGCCUGUAAUGGAGGCAUGCACAGGUGUCCUGCAGCUAAAGGAAUUUGACCUGUGGCUGAGCAGGCUGCUCAUGAACCCUCUGGCUUAAAAGCCGCAUGCGCUGCCACAAUCGUCACUUUACAAAAAUAAUGCCAAUAUUUAAAAGCAGACCGGGCUGUUUAAAAACAUCUUUAUUUCUGUCAGAUCAUUUGUUCUAUUGGUUCUUUUGUACUGUUACACGUGUUUAUUUAUUUUUGUUUCAUUACAUGUUUUAGUUACCGUUUCAGGCUGGUUAUGGAUGAUCACGGGGCCAGAUAAAAGAAUGUGCCCGAAGAAAGUCCACCAAUUUAUGCAGGAAGUGGGUCAUGAGCCAUGUUCAUUACGAGAAGAGUUACAGUAGGUUUUUGGUUCAAUUGGUUUUGUUCUUUAUUUUAUUAAAUUGUCAUUUGCAUAUGAUUGUUUAGAUUUAUGUAAUAAGUGUUAGUGAUGUACUGAUUGUUCUGUUGUGUUUUGAUGUCUUUCGUUGAGUUUACAGUAACUGGCCUGAUCAGUCAGUAUAUAUGUUUCUCUGUUUGUGUGUUUAGGGUCAUUUUAUUUUUUGGUAAGCAUUUGGUCCGGUGGUCUUACUCAGUUUAAUUUGUUAACUUCUUUUAAGUGCCCAAUUGGGUUAUGCUAUUCUGCUGUAUUUUGUUUAUUUUGCCCUCGCUUCUUAAAUAAAUUGCAUUAUUUUGGAAAAAUCCACUAGUGUCCUCCUACCUGUCUGCUCGCUUCCUCACAGGGCAGAACUACAUUUAGAUACACUGCUUUUGCUUUAAAUCUGUAUUUCGGAAUAUAGGUAAACCACAAUCCAAUCCAAGAAAAUCCUACAAGACUUAGUAGCAGGGAGAUAAGUAGGGGAAUGGAAGGGAAUGUUCCUUUUUUAUUAUGUACAGCUAUACGGCUGUUACUUUCCCAAAAAAAUCACUUUCUUACUUUCUUACAAAAACUGUGCAAAAAUAUGCAGCCAGUUGUAUUUGCAUGUGACUCUAUGUGAUAUAGCAUUAACCUUUUUAUUAUAGAUUUAUAUUUUUCCCACUCUGUGUGUGUUUAUGUUGAGCUGCACAGAGUUUGCAGUUCUGAAAGUUCGAAUGUUCUGAACUUUAAACCCGCCAUAGGCCGAUUUAAUUAAUCAUACAGCCAGCGUCUCAAAGCUGCAGCUUCUGUCAGUAAAAUAAUAAGGAGGUGCAAUACAUAGAUGCUCCAAAUGUCUAUUUCCAUAUACAUAGAGUAUAUAAACAGUUUGAGAUUAAUUAUUCUACAAUUUUAGCUUCCACAUUCACUAGACAAAUUUUUUUCCCUUUUUUUUCCCCUUGCAAUUUUGCAUUGCUCUGUAAAAAGCCUGUACUGUAUAUUGUUUACGCUCAUGAAAAUAUUCCUUACAAAAUUUGGAAAUCGAUAGCAUUAAUUGCCAAUCUUACGUGUCAAACUGGUUCACUCUGAAUAAAUCGUCGUUCCAUCA